This 1503-nucleotide ribosomal RNA is filed under the name Triticum aestivum (bread wheat). RNAcentral's name for it is "partial small subunit ribosomal RNA". Lineage: Eukaryota; Viridiplantae; Streptophyta; Magnoliopsida; Poales; Poaceae. The record is from RNAcentral.
AUGAGCCAAGAAUUCCUCCUAGCGACCGAACAACCAUCACAGAGCCACGAACAACAAGAAUUGCACGACAUCGUCCGGCAAGAGCACCAUGGGUACACCAUGCAACAAGGCGGUGGCCCGACGUUGUCCGGCUACGGCCACAAGCGCAAGAUCACUCUGAUCCCGCUCGUCUUCCUCAUCUACUUCGAGGUGGCAGGCGGCCCUUACGGCGCCGAGAAGGCCGUCCUCGCAGCUGGGCCGCUCUUCACCCUGCUCGGCUUCCUCAUCUUCCCCUUCGCGUGGGGCGUCCCGGAGUCGCUCAUCACGGCCGAGCUCGCCACCGCCUUCCCGGGCAACGGCGGCUUCGUCCUCUGGGCCGACCACGCCUUCGGCCCGCUCGCCGGCUUCCUCCUCGGCAUGUGGAAGUACCUCAGCAUCGUCAUCAACAUCGCCGCCUACACGGCCCUCAUCGCUGACUACCUUGGCGGAAGUGGAGUGGCCCCCGCGGUCGCGCAGCCCGGCGGGGCGCGCACGGCCGCGGUGAUCGGCAUGACGCUGCUCCUCUCGUUGGUGAACUACGCCGGCGUGAGCGUUGUCGGGUGGGGCGCCGUGGCGCUGGGGAUGGUGUCGCUGGCCCCAUUCGUGCUGAUGACGGCCAUGGCGGUGCCCAAGGUGAGGCCAAGUCGGUGGGCGUCGCAGGUGAAGGGGGAGAAGGACUGGAGGCUCUUCUUCAACACGCUCUUCUGGAACCUCAACUACUGGGACUGCGCCAGCACGAUGGCCGGGGAGGUGGAGCGGCCCGAGCGAACGUUCCCGCGGGCGCUGGCAGUCGCCGUCGUUCUGAUCGCCGGCAGUUACCUGCUGCCGCUUAUGGCCGCGACCGGCGCCACCGACGCGUCGCCGGAUGCGUGGGUCAACGGCUACUUGGCUGACGCGGCAGGCAUCAUCGGGGGACCAUGGCUCAAGUACUGGACAGGGGCCGGCGCAGUGAUCUCGUCCAUCGGCAUGUUUGAGGCCCAGAUGAGCAGCGGCACAUUCCAGCUCCUCGGCAUGGCAGACAUGGGCCUUCUCCCAGCUGUCUUCUCUCGCCGUGCCGCCCGUACUGGUACCCCGUGGGUGGCUAUCGUUGUGUCGACUGUUGUCACAAUUGCUGUCUCCUUCCUCUACUUCGAUGAUGUUGUUGCCACUGCUAACUUCUUGUACAGCCUGGGCACGCUGCUCGAGUUCGCCUCCUUCCUCUGGCUCCGCAUGAAGUACCCAGCGCUGAAGCGCCCUUACCGCGUGCCGCUGUCGCUGCCUGCGCUUGUGGCCAUGUGUGCCGUGCCAUCUUCAUUCCUGGCCUACGUGUGUGUGGUGGCCGGGUGGAGGGUAUUCACCCUCGCCGCGGGGCUUACUACUCUCGGUGUAGGGUGGCAUUGCGUCAUGAGAGUAUGCAAGGCCAAGAAGUUGCUCAAAUUCAACAACGCAGCUGCUGCUAACCCCCAACUGUAUGCCCGAGACAACUAUCAUCUGGUUCUGGGGUGA